RNAcentral lists this ribosomal RNA (468 nucleotides) under uncultured bacterium. RNAcentral describes it as "partial 16S ribosomal RNA". It matches the Rfam family "Bacterial small subunit ribosomal RNA", at positions 28 to 507 of the family's 1533-position model. The record is from RNAcentral.
GACGAACGCUGGCGGCGUGCUUAACACAUGCAAGUCGAACGGAAAGGCCCUGCUUUUGUGGGGUGCUCGAGUGGCGAACGGGUGAGUAACACGUGAGUAACCUGCCCUUGACUUUGGGAUAACUUCAGGAAACUGGGGCUAAUACCGGAUAGGAGCUCCUGCUGCAUGGUGGGGGUUGGAAAGUUUCGGCGGUUGGGGUUGGACUCGCGGCUUAUCAGCUUGUUGGUGGGGUAGUGGCUUACCAAGGCUUUGACGGGUAGCCGGCCUGAGAGGGUGACCGGCCACAUUGGGACUGAGAUACGGCCCAGACUCCUACGGGAGGCAGCAGUGGGGAAUAUUACACAAUGGGCGGAAGCCUGAUGCAGCAACGCCGCGUGCGGGAUGACGGGCUUCGGGUUGUAAACCGCUUCCGCCUGUGACGAAGCGUGAGUGACGGUAAUGGGUAAAGAAGCACCGGCUAACUACGUG